ACACAUGAUGAACCUGAGGCUGAUU
Molecule: non-coding RNA, 25 nt
Filed under: Cricetulus griseus (Chinese hamster)
Lineage: Eukaryota; Metazoa; Chordata; Mammalia; Rodentia; Cricetidae
Source: RNAcentral